AGGAAAAAGAAUUCCAAUCUUCAAUUUAUUGUUUAGCUAAUCAGAAUGACCUUAAAGCUCUUUGGCUGAACAAGACAAAAUACUACUGCUACUUCCAACAUCUCUGAUUAUUUUAAUGUUGAAAUUAUCACUUCAGUUUCUACUCUUCAUCUGAUCCCCAAGGAGAAAAAAAUGAUCCUCUCCCACACUUGAGCUCUAGUUUUUUUACUUAUGCACUGUUGUCACUGCUGAAUGCACAGUGUGUUUAGAUACUAAAAUCCUGACUGUAUCUACAGCAAAAAAUCCUUGACUUAUAUUUCUAAAGCUGUUUUUCAAGGCAUAGGAAAGAAAAACCUCUUUUGCAGUUUUGGGCAAGCAGCAUUUCUUUGAAGUUUCUGCUGUAGUGUGUGCCAUUGCAAAGAUUUUUUUUCUGCAAGAUUAACGAUAAAUUUAACCAGAGAUUAGACAGCUGCUUUCUUUGAAGUUUGUAUGAGUCAGUGAUUUAUUUGUGAAUGUCUAACAGGUAAGAAACUGAUAGGUCAAUUUUUGUCUUAUGUUGCCUGCACAACUUCUGAAGUGACCAACUAUUUAUUGAAUAAACGCUUGUCAGAAGAUACUAAGCUGAAAUGAAUCAGAAAAAUCUGCUUACAGAGUAACUGUAUACUGCUAUCACUUUCCCACAAACUUGCUUGAAGUCCAGGGAUGUAGUGGUACAUUCAUGAAAAAGAUACAUCACAUAGUCCACACACAUAGUGGUAUCAUUCUUCUAUACCCUUGUGUACUGUUAGUAUUCAAUUUGAAAUCAUGAUUAUACAUUAAGUAAAACAUACAGCUACAAAAACAAGUGAUACAAGACAGAUUUUCUUUGCAGAAGAUUUCUGGCUGCUGCAAAGCACAUCAGAUCUAGGAAGAAUUUUGGAUCUGGUUAUGGAGGAGCUUCAUGCUUGCAAAGGAGAAAUGUUCGAGACCUUAGACAUACAACUGAUUGGAAAAUACAGCAUCUCCAGCCAUUACUUCAACCUGGACUGAUGGGUCUGGGCUAAUUCAAAUACAGGGCCAAUCAACUGAAGACAAGAAAACACAGUAACAAAACAUGGAACAUUUUUACUGAAGUAUACCUCCUAUACAUGCACUUACAUAAGGCAUGUAAAUUAAACAUCUCAAUCAGCACCAAAAGUCAUGAAUAAUUAUCUGAUAUUUAAAGGUCAUUUAAAGAUAGCAGACAGCCUUUUCACAUGAUUUCUGAUGAGAUUUUGAGGUGGUAAACCACCUUGAGAACUGGAAAAAUAUUUCAAAAUCACAAGUAGGCAAGUUAUCUUCAGAAGAGGCCUUGAUUGGUAUUUAAUAACGAAAUAUGAAGCCAUAUGAAUUACAAUGAAAAGAAAUACAAUAAUGAACUUCUGUUCCUAAACACAUCAUCAGUAUGCAAUGAAUGAAUCAAGGGUCUUGAGGAAAAAAAAACAACCAUCAUUUUGAUUAGGUCAUUGAAAAUCAAGUUCAGGUAAGGGAAACUGAAUAAUAAAAUAUAUAUUUUUUCCUCUUUGACCUUUCAGCUACAUUACUGUAAUGCCUGGGAUACAUGGCUGCGAUUUAGAUUUCUAUUUUCAGUAGAGUACCUUUGUAUUGUUGCUAGCAUACAGAACUGCCUGCAACAUUUCACUUCAACAAAGCAUUAUGGGACCAUCAAUAUUCACUUUCUCAGUGCGUGCUGAAUUGACAAAUACAAAGUAUGAAGAAUAUGUUUUUGAUUAUUACAAGAUUUUUAACAUUAUUUUGCUCUUGCUUUUGCAUAUUUGCCACCAUUUUCCAUUUGCUUUCUUCCCUCAGUCAUUUGAAUGUGCUUCAAUACAAGGGUAUUCCAAAGAUAACACAAAUCAAUAGUUCAUUGACUGAAAAAAACUGAACACCUAAAUCAACGGACAGCAGGAACAACAAAAAACUACCAACUUACCUACCUACCAACAAGAACAAAAAGUACCCAGGUGUUCAUUCAGGAUUUCAAUCCUCAGAUAAAAUAUGUUCACUUUAUCGUGGAUCUAAAAAAACAAUGAAUGAUCACAAUGAGGAAUAUGACAUAUUUGAAUUAGUAAGCCACAUAAUCAAUAUAUUUGUAAGGACAGCAGAAUGAGUGAAUAAAAACAUAUCUAUGAGAGUUUCAGAUUCUACAUAUAUAUAAGAAUAUAAGAAAAAUCUAAUUUCCCUACAGAAAACUGCAUAUAAAAGUUUAUAGUGGGCACUAUUUAAGCUGGAAAAAAAAAAAUAAUAAUAAUUUUUAUAUCUCAAAUGUUUUAUUUUUAUUAUGUUACUUUUUCUACAUUUGAUCUGCAAAUCUUUGUUGUUCUGUAUAUAUUGUUGUUGUUGUUUUGUAUAUAUUUUUAAUAGUAUUUUAAUAUUGUGAUCAUGGCAAAGUUAACUUCUGCCAGAAACAUAUUUCAAAGUUCUCAAAGUCUUUCUAUAAAUUACCUAUUUCAGUUUCACUGUACAUCAUAUUUUCAUUGGCUUGGAAACAACAUGCGAACUGUAAAGAAUAUUCUAAUAUUGUACAUGGAGUUAAAAUCUGUAUUGUUGCGUUCAAGUUGUAUAUUACAGGAAUCAUUUGACUGAAAGAAAAAAAUACUUGAAAUUACAGUUUUGUUGUUUUUUUUUCAUAACGUAAUCCUUUUUUACAUAUUUAUUUAUUCACUGUCUGUGCCAAUGCACAUAUAUUAUCAGCCACAGGAAUGACUUUUAUAACACAUAUUCACACGUGUUUUCAAAUUUGUCAUUCUUAUAAGAAAGUCAAUGGCAACAAAGGAAUUAGCUAAUAAUUAACAAUGUUUUGAAAAUCUGUUCUUUGUUUACAUGUUUUCUGAAAAUCUGUGUCUGUUUACAGUCAGGCUAACAUAUUUAGAAAAUCUGCAUGCCUACAGUUACAUAACAAGCAAACUUAUAGCUCCUGUUCCUCAGGCUACAGAUGUCCCUCUGAAGUUUAAAGCAUAUGUUGACGUUAAUCAUUGUGUAUUAAUGCUAAGCCUUCCUCCUGUCAUUCAAAGCUUUGUCUCUCCACAGAGAUCUAAAGAAUAUUAUCUUAUUUGUUACUGAAAUGAUUAUAAUUAACUGUAAACCUUUCUGGACAGUUUGAAAUGAAUGAGCAAAAGAGAAAGUAUAACUAUUAUGAGCACUGCCUAAUUUUUUAAUAGUAGGGUGAG
Tympanuchus pallidicinctus (lesser prairie-chicken) is the source of this 3167-nucleotide long non-coding RNA. RefSeq lists it as uncharacterized. The record is from RefSeq and is a predicted model, not a curated record. NCBI's taxonomy places the organism in Eukaryota, Metazoa, Chordata, Aves, Galliformes, Phasianidae. The transcript has 3 exons.